RNAcentral lists this ribosomal RNA (253 nucleotides) under uncultured bacterium. RNAcentral's name for it is "partial 16S ribosomal RNA". It matches the Rfam family "Bacterial small subunit ribosomal RNA", at positions 524 to 776 of the family's 1533-position model. The record is from RNAcentral.
UACGUAGGGUGCGAGCGUUAAUCGGAAUUACUGGGCGUAAAGCGUGCGCAGGCGGCUAUUUAAGCUUGCUGUGAAAGCCCCGGGCUUAACCUGGGAACUGCAGUGAGGACUGGAUGGCUGGAGUGUGGCAGAGGGGGGUGGAAUUCCACGUGUAGCAGUGAAAUGCGUAGAGAUGUGGAGGAACACCGAUGGCGAAGGCAGCCCCGUGGGCUAACACUGACGCUCAGGCACGAAAGCGUGGGGAGCAAACAGG